AUGAGCCAAUUAAACCUCUUUUCUUUAUAAAUUACUCAGUCUCAGGUAUUUCUUUACAGCAGUGUGAGAUCAGCCUAAUACAAUGUGGAAUCUAAACUAGUUAAACUCAUAGAAACAGAGAGUAGAAUGGUAGUUGCCCAGGGAGAUAUUGGUCAAAGGGUACAAUCUUUCAGCUAUACGCUGAAUAAGUUCUGAGGAUCUCAUGUACAGCCUGGUGACUGCAGUUAUAACACUAUAUUUU
Sapajus apella (tufted capuchin) is the source of this 241-nucleotide long non-coding RNA. RefSeq lists it as uncharacterized. Lineage: Eukaryota; Metazoa; Chordata; Mammalia; Primates; Cebidae. The record is from RefSeq and is a predicted model, not a curated record. The transcript has 3 exons.